CGGGACACGUGGUAUCCUGUCUGAAUAUGGGGGGACCAUCCUCCAAGGCUAAAUACUCCUGACUGACCGAUAGUGAACCAGUACCGUGAGGGAAAGGCGAAAAGAACCCCGGCGAGGGGAGUGAAAAAGAACCUGAAACCGUGUACGUACAAGCAGUGGGAGCACGCUUAGGCGUGUGACUGCGUACCUUUUGUAUAAUGGGUCAGCGACUUAUAUUCUGUAGCAAGGUUAACCGAAUAGGGGAGCCGAAGGGAAACCGAGUCUUAACUGGGCGUUAAGUUGCAGGGUAUAGACCCGAAACCCGGUGAUCUAGCCAUGGGCAGGUUGAAGGUUGGGUAACACUAACUGGAGGACCGAACCGACUAAUGUUGAAAAAUUAGCGGAUGACUUGUGGCUGGGGGUGAAAGGCCAAUCAAACCGGGAGAUAGCUGGUUCUCCCCGAAAGCUAUUUAGGUAGCGCCUCGUGAAUUCAUCUCCGGGGGUAGAGCACUGUUUCGGCAAGGGGGUCAUCCCGACUUACCAACCCGAUGCAAACUGCGAAUACCGGAGAAUGUUAUCACGGGAGACACACGGCGGGUGCUAACGUCCGUCGUGAAGAGGGAAACAACCCAGACCGCCAGCUAAGGUCCCAAAGUCAUGGUUAAGUGGGAAACGAUGUGGGAAGGCCCAGACAGCCAGGAUGUUGGCUUAGAAGCAGCCAUCAUUUAAAGAAAGCGUAAUAGCUCACUGGUCGAGUCGGCCUGCGCGGAAGAUGUAACGGGGCUAAACCAUGCACCGAAGCUGCGGCAGCGACGCUGAUGCGUUGUUGGGUAGGGGAGCGUUCUGUAAGCCUGUGAAGGUGUGCUGUGAGGCAUGCUGGAGGUAUCAGAAGUGCGAAUGCUGACAUAAGUAACGAUAAAGCGGGUGAAAAGCCCGCUCGCCGGAAGACCAAGGGUUCCUGUCCAACGUUAAUCGGGGCAGGGUGAGUCGACCCCUAAGGCGAGGCCGAAAGGCGUAGUCGAUGGGAAACAGGUUAAUAUUCCUGUACUUGGUGUUACUGCGAAGGGGGGACGGAGAAGGCUAUGUUGGCCGGGCGACGGUUGUCCCGGUUUAAGCGUGUAGGCUGGUUUUCCAGGCAAAUCCGGAAAAUCAAGGCUGAGGCGUGAUGACGAGGCACUACGGUGCUGAAGCAACAAAUGCCCUGCUUCCAGGAAAAGCCUCUAAGCAUCAGGUAACAUCAAAUCGUACCCCAAACCGACACAGGUGGUCAGGUAGAGAAUACCAAGGCGCUUGAGAGAACUCGGGUGAAGGAACUAGGCAAAAUGGUGCCGUAACUUCGGGAGAAGGCACGCUGAUAUGUAGGUGAAGCGACUUGCUCGUGGAGCUGAAAUCAGUCGAAGAUACC
Molecule: ribosomal RNA, 1384 nt
Filed under: Escherichia coli
Lineage: Bacteria; Pseudomonadati; Pseudomonadota; Gammaproteobacteria; Enterobacterales; Enterobacteriaceae
Description: partial 23S ribosomal RNA
Rfam family: Bacterial large subunit ribosomal RNA
Source: RNAcentral